UCGAGAGUUUGUAUCCUGGCUCAGAACGAACGCUGGCGGCGUGUUUAAGACAUGCAAGUCGCACGGGAUCAGAUAUGUAGCAAUACUUGUCUGGUUUAGUGGCGCACGGGUGAGUAACACGUGAAUGACAUGCCCUAUAGUGGGGAAUAGCCCAGGGAAACUUGGAUUAAUACCCCAUAGUCUCGCAAGAGUAAAGGUGGCCGCAAGGCUGUCGCUAUAGGAUUGGUUCGCGUUCUAUCAGCUUGUUGGUGAGGUAACGGCUCACCAAGGCAAUGACGGAUACCUGGUCUGAGAGGACGAUCAGGCACACUGGAACUGAGACACGGUCCAGACCACCGUAC
Molecule: ribosomal RNA, 341 nt
Filed under: uncultured Luteolibacter sp.
Lineage: Bacteria; Pseudomonadati; Verrucomicrobiota; Verrucomicrobiia; Verrucomicrobiales; Verrucomicrobiaceae
Description: bacterial SSU rRNA
Rfam family: Bacterial small subunit ribosomal RNA
Source: RNAcentral